RNAcentral lists this ribosomal RNA (253 nucleotides) under uncultured bacterium. Its description in RNAcentral is "partial 16S ribosomal RNA". It matches the Rfam family "Bacterial small subunit ribosomal RNA", at positions 524 to 776 of the family's 1533-position model. The record is from RNAcentral.
UACAGAGGUCUCAAGCGUUGUUCGGAUUCAUUGGGCGUAAAGGGUGCGUAGGUGGCGCCGUAAGUCGGGUGUGAAAUUUCGGAGCUUAACUCCGAAACUGCAUUCGAUACUGCGGUGCUUGAGGACUGGAGAGGAGACUGGAAUUCAUGGUGUAGCAGUGAAAUGCGUAGAGAUCAUGAGGAAGACCAGUGGCGAAGGCGGGUCUCUGGACAGUUCCUGACGCUGAGGCACGAAGGCCAGGGGAGCAAACGGG